Molecule: transfer RNA, 87 nt
Filed under: Candidatus Undinarchaeales archaeon
Lineage: Archaea; Nanobdellati; Candidatus Undinarchaeota; Candidatus Undinarchaeia; Candidatus Undinarchaeales
Description: tRNA-Leu
Rfam family: tRNA
About the family: Transfer RNA (tRNA) molecules are approximately 80 nucleotides in length.
Source: RNAcentral
GCGGGAGUACCAAAGUGGUCAAAUGGGUUGGACUCAAGAUCCAAUGACUUAGUGUCUUCGCAGGUUCAAAUCCUGUCUCCCGCACCA